This is a small nucleolar RNA of Xyrauchen texanus (razorback sucker), 136 nucleotides long. RefSeq annotates it as small nucleolar RNA SNORA14. The record is from RefSeq and is a predicted model, not a curated record. NCBI's taxonomy places the organism in Eukaryota, Metazoa, Chordata, Actinopteri, Cypriniformes, Catostomidae. The transcript has a single exon.
GUGCAUUAUUUUAAACCCCCCGGCUAGCUGCUCGUAGCUUUCUGGGACAAGAAAGAAUGCAAGAGAAACCUGAGAACUAUCCAAAGUUAAGGGUCUUCCUGCAGUGACCUUCAACUAUUUCAACUCUUAAACAUUA